AUUGUUUAGUCYGUGUCAUUGUGAGAUGCUACUUCAUUCAUUCUGUACUUUAUUUUAUUGUUCCAUUUUGUAGUCGUAUGUAGGUCUCAAACUCCAGAAUCAAUGGCCAGAAGAUACGUCACUAUUUCUUUCUUGGUAGCUUCCAGCUGGGAUUGAUUGAGUGAUGUAUCUCACCUUCCUCAAGAUCAGCAUGCAUGGUGCAGAAGUCAGAAGACUGCCGUUUCACAAGUUUCCUCCAAUAUGUAAAUUUGUACAUUAUGGGUAUCUCUACCACUCAUCCUGCUCAGAAAGUGUCCUUCAGCAGCUGUGCAAUCCUGCGUCACCAAAGAGGGGAGUAGAUGGGAUUUCAGUGUGAAAUUUGGAAGAGGACAGGAAAGCAGGAUCAAGGAAAAACAGGUAAGCAAAGCUGCACUUAGCAUUUAUCUGCAGACC
Molecule: long non-coding RNA, 432 nt
Filed under: Dromaius novaehollandiae (emu)
Lineage: Eukaryota; Metazoa; Chordata; Aves; Casuariiformes; Dromaiidae
Description: lncRNA (ENSDNVG00000012165.1)
Source: RNAcentral